Molecule: ribosomal RNA, 373 nt
Filed under: uncultured organism
Description: partial 16S ribosomal RNA
Rfam family: Bacterial small subunit ribosomal RNA
Source: RNAcentral
GUAGGUGGCAAGCGUUGUCCGGAAUUAUUGGGCGUAAAGCGCGCGCAGGCGGUUCUUUAAGUCUGAUGUGAAAGCCCACGGCUCAACCGUGGAGGGUCAUUGGAAACUGGAGAACUAGAGUACAGAAGAGGAAAGCGGAAUUCCACGUGUAGCGGUGAAAUGCGUAGAGAUGUGGAGGAACACCAGUGGCGAAGGCGGCUUUCUGGUCUGUAACUGACGCUGAGGCGCGAAAGCGUGGGGAGCAAACAGGGAUUAGAUACCCUGGUAGUCCACGCCGUAAACGAUGAGUGCUAAGUGUUAGGGGGGUUUCCGCCCCCUUAGUGCUGCAGCUAACGCAUUAAGCACUCCGCCUGGGGAUACGGCCGCAAGGCUG